Molecule: long non-coding RNA, 1524 nt
Organism: Homo sapiens (human)
Lineage: Eukaryota; Metazoa; Chordata; Mammalia; Primates; Hominidae
Gene: OVAAL
Product: ovarian adenocarcinoma amplified long non-coding RNA
Source: Ensembl
AGUUGAGAGUCAUAGUGUGGACAAGGGCAGGUGCCCUGGGCAUCUGCACAGCUGGUACACUCCUUCAUCCAAAGUUUGAUCAAGACAAAGGAAAACAUAAUUAGGAGCUCAGGGAGGCAGCUGUAUGGAGGCCAAUAUGCAGACAAGGGAAGUAACUCAGGCAUUUUGGGGGAGAGGUACAGAAAGAAGAGAAAAGACUGAACUGACUGCUGUUCUGAACAAGAACUGUGACUAUAUGUGGUACUCCCAGAAUGCUGGUUUCCUUUCAGACCCAUCAAGUGGCCAUCCUAUUGGCUUGGACUGAAGACCCCCACUGGAGAACUGUCUCUGCAGCCUAUACUGAUGACACUGGCCACUGUCCAGGGCUCCACCCCAAGGAGUCCAAGCCCCAGACAUUUAGCCUUAGAGAGAAUCCAGAUUUUGCAUUUCCAGUGCAGGGAUUGAUGGAGCCUUGUGUAUCAAAGUGCCAAUUUCUUUCUAACAAGCUAGGGAGGAUACCGUUGACAGCAGCAGAAAGGGGUAGCAGUGGUUUGCUUUCCAAAUGGUAAUAAGAAGGGCCUGGCAGUGGCAACCUGUCCACGUAUCAUUAAAAAUGGACUCUCCUGCUUCGUUUGGAAUUCAACCCAAUGAACUUGAAUAAACUCUGGACAAUGACCAGCACAGAGCCCUAAGCAGGAUACAGCAAGAUUAUUUGCUUUACUCAUCCACUGAGUACCUACCAUGUGCCAAAUACUAUGCUAUAUGCCGAGUAUACACUGGCAAAUAAAACAGAUAUGGUCCCUGGAGCCUAUGAAUCUUACCCCAUCUAGCCACAAAUAAUAAAAAUAAGAAGAAUCUGAAGGACAAGUGGGACAGAAAUACUCAAGCAGAAUGAGGGUGAGAUUGAAGUCCCUGAACAUACAGUGCCCUUUACACUUGAUCUUAGCCAAAAGGCCGAGAAGAGAUUACAGUGCUUUUUAAAGGUAGCAUUUCACCCAGCCAAUAAUCAAUCCCUUUGGCCUUCUUGAGGUGCAAGGCCACACACUCAAAUUCUUUAAUCAAACAAUAGGCUAGUGCAAAUGGAGCUAUUUCUUAAACCCAGCUGUUUACACAGCAGCUACAAAUCUGUUCAGAAGGAAUCCCCCACCAUCCACAACUGUCUAUCGAGCAGAUGUGCAAGAGUAUUUGUCUCUCACCACCAGGGUUGCAGUCAGGACAAGAGAGCAGGUUUGAACGUCUUCGGCUCCUAGAACUGCACAAGCUGUGUCUUCAGUGCCCAGAGGCGGCUGCAACGUCUCCCCAGUUCUCCUCUCAGAACAAUGGAAAUUUUUUUUAGAGGCGUAAUAGGAAGGUUUGCAUUGAAUUAUUAAACAAUGGGUAUUGAAAAAUAUGUUUUCUUUGACCUCUGUACUUCUAGCUUUUACCAGUCAGUGUUUUCUUGUACCAAGGCUAAGAUAUGUAUAACACUGAAAUGGAUGUCUUCUUAUAUAAUAUUUUACAAGCUUUUGAAAACCUGUGCCCUUUAAUAAAUUUUAAAACGUUUCA